Molecule: long non-coding RNA, 499 nt
Organism: Zalophus californianus (California sea lion)
Lineage: Eukaryota; Metazoa; Chordata; Mammalia; Carnivora; Otariidae
Exons: 3
Source: RefSeq, a predicted model, not a curated record
GCGGUGCGGGCGGCGCCCCAGCGCGGGGGGAGCGAGUGCGGGCGGGAACGGCGCCCCCGGAGCGCCUCGGCCUUCAGGCUCCCGUGCAGCCCAAGCCGGAGCCCCGAGAUAGAGGUCGAGGACGUUCUGUCGUACCUUGAGAGAGGGUGCGGCCGACAGAGGGGGUCCUGUCCAGCUCAUCUUCCCAGAGUGUGGAUCUGACCACGUCAUUCUCCCGCUCAAACACUCCCAAGCUCCCUCUUCUUCUCAGCGCACUCCGAGCUCCCCGGCUGCGGUGACCCCAGGGCUGUGUCUUCUCUCCACAUGGCUUUGAGUCUGCGAUUCAGCUUCAUCAGAAAGCCUCUCUGUGCUCCCACCCGAGUGUGUUUAGGUCCUGCCAUUCCGUGUAGGGCAGGGAAAGUCUGAGCCCUUCCUCCAAAGUCACUUGAAGGUCCCAUUCAAAUAGGCUCUCCUCUUGAACUUCCCCCAAGCUGACAUUUGGGGAAAGAAAAGAACGUUG